This 468-nucleotide ribosomal RNA is filed under the name uncultured bacterium. RNAcentral's name for it is "partial 16S ribosomal RNA". It matches the Rfam family "Bacterial small subunit ribosomal RNA", at positions 28 to 507 of the family's 1533-position model. The record is from RNAcentral.
GACGAACGCUGGCGGCGUGCUUAACACAUGCAAGUCGAACGGAAAGGCCCUGCUUUUGGGGGGUGCUCUAGUGGCGAACGGGUGAGUAACACGUAGGUAACCUGCCACUGACUUUGGGAGAACCUCAGGAAACUGGGGCUAAUACCGGAUAGGAGCUCCUGCUGCAUGGUGGGGGUUGGAAAGUUUCGGCGGUUGGGGAUGGACUGGCGGCUUAUCAGCUUGUUGCGGGGGUAGUGGCUUACCAAGGCUUGGACGCGUAGCCGGGCUGGGAGGGGGAGAGGACAAGCUGGGAUUGGGAUGCGGCACAGACUACUAUGGGACGCAGAGGUGGGGUAUAGUGUAUUAUGGGCGGAGGGCUGAUGCAGUAACGCAGCGUGGGGUAAGAGAGGAAGCGGUUUGUAUAGUGAUUUCGCCUGAGACGAAGCGUGAGUGACGGUAAUGGGUAAAGAAGCACCGGCUAACUACGUG